CAGAGGGAGAAGGAGGAAGCAGGGAUGUUUGACCUUACGGCAUUUGUCUUCCCAAGCAACUGUUAGGAAUGAUGAAGCUCUGCUUUCCUGGCAAUGGCUAAACCACUCCCAGUCGAUGUGAGGGGUUGCAGCAUAUCUAAUUGAGGAUUUUCCAUCCUUUUGGUAAAAAUUGGACCCAUCUGUGAACCACAUUGAAUAUCCUGUGGCACGAAGUCAGCAACGGAGCUUUUAUCUGGUGAGAGAUACGUAAACAGGAGUUCAGCUGUCUGCAAUCCAAGACACAGCUGUGUCACCCUCUCUCAGACUUGUGAGGAAAUUGCUAAAUUCUGAGCCAGAACUGUGAAGAUGUUGAUAGCAUGGACUUCUGCAAGUUGAGAGGUAAAAUUGCACAGAAAGGCUAGAUGGGUCAUGCUUUUCUGGAUUAGAUUUAGAAGAAGGGAAAAGAAGCAAAAGAUUAAAGCACGCCUUUUGUGUUGUUU
Molecule: non-coding RNA, 479 nt
Organism: Phalacrocorax carbo (great cormorant)
Lineage: Eukaryota; Metazoa; Chordata; Aves; Suliformes; Phalacrocoracidae
Source: RefSeq, a predicted model, not a curated record